GGGGGCGACUGGUUUCGACGUGUUGGUUGAAGCUGCAGUUGCGCGCCGAGGAUUCCGGUUGGCCUCGUAAAAAAUCCGGAAAAACAACAUAAAGGCCAACGAAGAAUUGGCUCUCGCGGCCUAAUUAAGCCGUGACGUCUCGCCGCUGAUAUCUGCUAGGCGGAGUGAGGCGACGACAGCAGGUUAGCCAGUAGCUGGGUGGCCGGGAUUACUGGUGAAACACUUUCGUGGCCGCUGGCUGUUGCAAUGGCCUGUCAACCGGCAGUUGCAAUGGCGAGAACUAAUGGUUGGACACGCGCGUAGAUGCUGUAGUGACUCCAUCGCGGACGGGGGUUCAAUUCCCCCCGCCUCCACCA
This 356-nucleotide transfer-messenger RNA is filed under the name Lentisphaerae bacterium RIFOXYA12_FULL_48_11. It matches the Rfam family "transfer-messenger RNA". From Rfam's summary of the family: Bacterial tmRNA, also known as 10Sa RNA or SsrA, is named for its dual tRNA and mRNA-like properties. Its role is to liberate the mRNA from a stalled ribosome. The record is from RNAcentral. RNAcentral also lists the same sequence under 1 other name. Lineage: Bacteria; Pseudomonadati; Lentisphaerota.